UUGAGACAGAAGGGGCUAAUGCCUCUGCAGAAUUUAUUUAUUCUUAAUGUCUACCAGAUUGUUAAUCCAGCCUGUCACUUGUGUAACUUCUGUUAUAACUUCCAUUCCGGGAGGCUGUUUCUCUUUUUCUUUCUUUCCUAGGAGAUGCUGCUUCCCAGUGUGUCCUAUGUUUCACCUCGUGGUUGAUUCCCAAGCAUUGUCCUGCAGGGAGUUCCCCUCUCCAUUUGCAGGUCCACCCCCACAGAAAAUUACCCCUAAUUUCAGCCAAAAUCAUUCUUCACUUCCUUUCCUGGCUUCUCUUGGAUGAUGGGUGAUGAGAAGACACAGGUAACAGACGUGG
Molecule: long non-coding RNA, 340 nt
Organism: Chroicocephalus ridibundus (black-headed gull)
Lineage: Eukaryota; Metazoa; Chordata; Aves; Charadriiformes; Laridae
Exons: 3
Source: RefSeq, a predicted model, not a curated record